GACGAAGGUGGCAAGCGUUGUUCGGAAUCACUGGGCUUAAAGAGCAUGUAGGCGGCCCAUCAAGCGUCUUGUGAAAUCCCUCGGCUCAACCGAGGAAUUGCUUGGCGAACUGCUGGGCUUGAGGCAGGUAGGGGCGCAUGGAACUCUUGGUGGAGCGGUGGAAUGCGUAGAUAUCAAGAGGAACGCCAGAGGCGAAAGCGAUGCGCUGGGCCUGUCCUGACGCUGAGAUGCGAAAGCCAGGGGAGCGAACGGGAUUAGAUACCCCAGUA
RNAcentral lists this ribosomal RNA (269 nucleotides) under uncultured prokaryote. RNAcentral's name for it is "partial 16S ribosomal RNA". It matches the Rfam family "Bacterial small subunit ribosomal RNA", at positions 524 to 792 of the family's 1533-position model. The record is from RNAcentral.